GGCAGGAUGGCCGAGUUGGUUAUGGCGCCAGGUUAAGGUUUACCUUAAUAUCAAUCUCCUGGUUCGGGAAACUGAGCGUGGGUUCAAGUCCCACUCCUGUCA
This 102-nucleotide transfer RNA is filed under the name Sphaerosporella brunnea. It matches the Rfam family "tRNA". Rfam says of the family: Transfer RNA (tRNA) molecules are approximately 80 nucleotides in length. The record is from Rfam by way of RNAcentral. Lineage: Eukaryota; Fungi; Ascomycota; Pezizomycetes; Pezizales; Pyronemataceae.